Molecule: unclassified non-coding RNA, 359 nt
Filed under: uncultured bacterium
Lineage: Bacteria
Description: contains 16S-23S intergenic spacer region
Source: RNAcentral
UCCGUGUUAACCACGGCAGUCUCGCGUGAAAAGUAACACGCGACGAGGGUUGCGCUCGUUUCGCCACUUAAGGAAACACCUCACGGCACGAGCUGACGGCAACCAUGCAGCACCUGUCUAGCAAUCUCAAGGACGUCAACAUUUCUGUUAACCACAGCUAGAUUUCUAGUCCUGGUAAGGUUCCUCGCUUAGCAUCGAAUUAAACCACACGCUCCACCACUUGUGCAGGCUCCCGUCUAUUCCUUUGAGUUUUAAGCUUGCGCUCGUACUACCCAGGCGGCUAACUUAACGCGUUAGCUUCGACACUGAAGGGGUCGAUACCUCCAAUGCCUAGUUAGCAUCGUUUACGGCGUGGACUA